Molecule: long non-coding RNA, 208 nt
Organism: Strigops habroptila (Kakapo)
Lineage: Eukaryota; Metazoa; Chordata; Aves; Psittaciformes; Psittacidae
Exons: 2
Source: RefSeq, a predicted model, not a curated record
GACACCUCCAGCCACAGCCGCGCCGCUCGCCAACGCUUCUACAGUAAAUCAUCAACGUGAAACCACAGUUAAUACUGGAAUUGAAGCAUUUACAUACUGGAAAAAUAAUUUCAAGUCUUCCAUCAGUGGCUAUAAACUCAAGGCAGGCAUAUGGCCCCAACUCUACAAAGCCAUACACAGCGGAACUAAUAAAUCCUGAUUUCUUGCA